GACGAACCGUGUGAACGUUGUUCGGAAUCACUGGGCUUAAAGGGCGCGUAGGCGGGCUGUCAAGUCUGGGGUGAAAUGCCGCGGCUCAACCGUGGAACUGCCUUAGAUACUGACGGCCUCGAGGAAGGUAGGGGCAUGCGGAACUGUAGGUGGAGCGGUGAAAUGCGUUGAUAUCUACAGGAACUCCGGUGGCGAAAGCGGCGUGCUGGACCUUUUCUGACGCUGAGGCGCGAAAGCUAGGGGAGCAAACGGG
RNAcentral lists this ribosomal RNA (253 nucleotides) under uncultured bacterium. Its description in RNAcentral is "partial 16S ribosomal RNA". It matches the Rfam family "Bacterial small subunit ribosomal RNA", at positions 524 to 776 of the family's 1533-position model. The record is from RNAcentral.